CCUAUGGGUGGCAGCAGUAGGGAAUCUUCCACAAUGGGCGAAAGCCUGAUGGAGCAACGCCGCGUGGGUGAAGAAGGUCUUCGGAUCGUAAAACCCUGUUGUUAGAGAAAAAAGUGCUUGAGAGUAACUGUUCACGUUUCGACGGUAUCUAACCAGAAAGCCACGGCUAACUACGUGCCCGCCGCCGCGGUAAUACGUAGGUGGCGAGCGUUAUCCGGAUUUGUUGGGCGUAAAGGGAACGCAGGUGGUCUGUUAAGUCGGAUGUGAAAGCCUUCGGCUUAACCGGAGUAGUGCAUUGGAAACUGGGAGACUUGAGUGCAGAAGAGGAGAGUGGAACUCCAGGGGUAGCGGUGAAAUGCGUAGAUAUAUGGAAGAACACCAGUGGCGAAAGCGGCUCUCUGGUCUGUAACUGACGCUGAGGUUCGAAAGCGUGGGUAGCAAACAGGAUUAGAUACCCUGGUAGUC
This 465-nucleotide ribosomal RNA is filed under the name uncultured bacterium. Its description in RNAcentral is "partial 16S ribosomal RNA". It matches the Rfam family "Bacterial small subunit ribosomal RNA", at positions 338 to 795 of the family's 1533-position model. The record is from RNAcentral.